Molecule: ribosomal RNA, 535 nt
Filed under: Enterococcus faecium
Lineage: Bacteria; Bacillati; Bacillota; Bacilli; Lactobacillales; Enterococcaceae
Also listed under: 1 other name
Description: bacterial SSU rRNA
Rfam family: Bacterial small subunit ribosomal RNA
Source: RNAcentral
GAGUGGCGAACGGGUGAGUAACACGUGGGUAACCUGCCCAUCAGAAGGGGAUAACACUUGGAAACAGGUGCUAAUACCGUAUAACAAUCGAAACCGCAUGGUUUUGAUUUGAAAGGCGCUUUCGGGUGUCGCUGAUGGAUGGACCCGCGGUGCAUUAGCUAGUUGGUGAGGUAACGGCUCACCAAGGCCACGAUGCAUAGCCGACCUGAGAGGGUGAUCGGCCACAUUGGGACUGAGACACGGCCCAAACUCCUACGGGAGGCAGCAGUAGGGAAUCUUCGGCAAUGGACGAAAGUCUGACCGAGCAACGCCGCGUGAGUGAAGAAGGUUUUCGGAUCGUAAAACUCUGUUGUUAGAGAAGAACAAGGAUGAGAGUAACUGUUCAUCCCUUGACGGUAUCUAACCAGAAAGCCACGGCUAACUACGUGCCAGCAGCCGCGGUAAUACGUAGGUGGCAAGCGUUGUCCGGAUUUAUUGGGCGUAAAGCGAGCGCAGGCGGUUUCUUAAGUCUGAUGUGAAAGCCCCCGGCUCAACC